Molecule: transfer RNA, 85 nt
Filed under: Clostridia bacterium
Lineage: Bacteria; Bacillati; Bacillota; Clostridia
Description: tRNA-Leu
Rfam family: tRNA
About the family: Transfer RNA (tRNA) molecules are approximately 80 nucleotides in length.
Source: RNAcentral
GCGGGUAUGGUGGAAUUGGCAGACACGCAAGAUUUAGGAUCUUGUGCCUCACAGCGUGCAGGUUCGACCCCUGUUACCCGCACCA